AGAGAAUGAAGGCAAAGGGGGAAUCAAAGCUGGAAAGGCAGAAACAAGCGACCCAAGGCGCCUGCUUGGCACCAAACGACUCCUCAGGAUCCAAAUUCCCGGCAAAGCACAAACAACCAUGGCAAGAAACUGCUUGGAGCGCUUUCUGCCAUCUUCUCACCAAGUUCAGGAGUCAGCACUUCUGAAUGCGUCUCGUCUACACCAUGCACCAUAUAGGCACUUCUACAUACUGUCCAUUCUCAUUACUUAGGGUACUUACGCCCUACAAAAUCACUGCAGACCUCGAACCUCUGGUCAGAACAUUUUCAUUAACCAAUCAAUACAUAGCCUUGUUUUAUGAGCUUC
This is a long non-coding RNA of Pan troglodytes (chimpanzee), 345 nucleotides long. RefSeq lists it as uncharacterized. The transcript is spliced from 2 exons. The record is from RefSeq and is a predicted model, not a curated record. Lineage: Eukaryota; Metazoa; Chordata; Mammalia; Primates; Hominidae.